CUUUUCGGAGUAGCGGGUGGAGAGCGGCGGACGGGUGAGUAACACGUAGGUGACCUGCCCUGAGGACGGGGACAACCGGUGGAAACGCCGGCUAAUACCGGGUAAGCUCACGCGGGUUAGAGGCCGGGUGAGAAAACGGCAGCGCAAGCUGACCGCCUCAGGAGGGGCCUGCGGCCCAUCAGCUAGUUGGCAGGGUAACGGCCUACCAAGGCGAAGACGGGUAGGGGGCCUGAGAGGGUGACCCCCCACACGGGCACUGAGACACGGGCCCGACUCCUACGGGAGGCAGCAGUAAGGAAUAUUGCCCAAUGGGCGCAAGCCUGAGGCAGCAACGCCGCGUGCCCGACGAAGGCCUUCGGGUUGUAAAGGGCUUUUCUGGCUGAAGAGUGAGGACAGUAGGCCAGGAAGAAGAGUCGGCUAACUACGUGCCAGCAGCCGCGGUAAAACGUAGGACUCAAGCGUUAUCCGGAUUUACUGGGCGUAAAGGGCGGGCAGGCGGGCCGGCAAGUCUGACGUGAAAGCUCCUGGCUUAACCGGGAGAGGCCGUUGGAAACUGCCGGGCUGGAGGGCAGUAGAGGGGCGUGGAAUUCCGGGUGGAGUGGUGAAAUGCGUAAAGAUCCGGAGGAACACCAGAGGCGAAGGCGGCGCCCUGGGCUGACCCUGACGCUGAGCCGCGAAAGCCAGGGUAGCGAACGGGAUUAGAAACCCCGG
This 711-nucleotide ribosomal RNA is filed under the name uncultured bacterium. RNAcentral's name for it is "bacterial SSU rRNA". It matches the Rfam family "Bacterial small subunit ribosomal RNA", at positions 76 to 790 of the family's 1533-position model. The record is from RNAcentral.